UUUAUUUGGAGAAAAGAGCCCCCAAUGUUUCUCAAGUUCAGGGUUUUUGUUACUCUCAUCAAACAUGGCAAAAAUAUAAGUUUCUAUAGGCUUUCCAGGCCUCUUUGGGGUUCCUUUCUUCACAUGUUGAACUAAGUUGUUGUUAUAAGUUCUUGCAUUAUCAACCGAUGUUCCUGUCCCUCCAGCCGUUGGCCAACCACUCUCUGAUACCACGAUUUCCAAAGAACCCCCUCCAGAUUUCUCCAAAGCAGCGUAAACAGUGUCAAGAAGGGCAUCGAAGAGGUUUUGGUAAUUCAGUGGUGGGUCAGAGACUAGUGGUGAUGGAGCUGUGAAAAGAGCAUAAUCAAGACGAAUGUCUCUUGUGUUAAGUGAGUAACUGAUGUAUGGAUACGAGUUAAGCAGUAAUGGAGCUUGGUUGUUCACUAAAAAGCGAAUGAUCGGAUCGAGAAGUGGUCUAUAGUCUCCCUUGAAAGAGCUUUUUGAGGGAGGGAAGGAACCAUCUGCUAUGACCCCAUUAUCAAUAGCGGUUGAAACUUUGAUACUUCCUAGUCCAGCUGAAUUGAGUGCGUUGCGAAUGUUUUGCAUGGCAGGGACUAGAAACUGUGCGAAUGAAUCUGAGGGCUUAACCUCAUUUCCUACCGCAAUGUAUCGAAACUUGACAUUGCCAAAAAUUUUUACAUUGCUUUGCACCCAUGCAUUUGCGUUGGCUUGACUGGAAGCAAUCCUUUGAAGAUCCGGAUUUGGAAGACCUAGCAUGAGCUCAAUGUUGGUGCCUCCAAGGGCUCGUAGAGCAUCUUGGUUUGGAUCAUAAAGUCGCAUUCUGCGAAUGCCCCUCUGGUUGUAGAGAGCUAUGACUUCUGAUGGUGGUGGUAAGUUACCAAGCAUUCCAUAGCAAACACCUAUCUGGGCACCUGUAUUGAAAUAUUGUGAUUAUUUAGUUAACCAUAGAUGUUGAGUUGACAGCUUUAGUAAAACUAUCAGAUAGCAUAAAAUGAACAUGAUUAUGAGUAUACCUGUUGUAUCUAGGCUAGCUAGUAGGAGCCCAAAGAGUAGCAUUAUGGAAAUCAUGGAAGGGCCUUUGCCAGCUAAAUUUGAUCUAGCCAUGCUUAAGGAAAUCACAAUAAACUAUGAAAGAGAGAUUGCAACUAUGUUUGCCAAACUCCCUUUCUUACCUUCCUCUUUAUAGAGAAAAUGUAUACACCUAGACUUGGUCUUGCUAAGAAUUUUCCCAUCCUUAAUGCCAAAUUCAUUAUAGUGUAGACUACUGUGGAACGUAUAUUUUCCACAAAUUGCCAAUGCUAUUGCUUGAACCAUUCAAUGCACAUCUAACAGCUCUUCAUCUGGGACCUUAUACAUAGCUUUGAAAAGUCUCAAGAGCUAUUAAUUAUCGUUUUGUGGCAGUCAGUUUCCUUUAAUAUAUAUCCAGGCAGACAAGUCGCAUCCUCUACGGCCUAAAUUUUUCACAACCACUACAAGUUGUUUCACAUAUCUGCAUCGUAUAAGAGCAUUUCUUAGGUAAUUAAUAAACGUUCAAGUUAAAAUUCACGUGUAAACUAGACAAUUUUCAUCCCUGCGCAGCACGGCAUUCUUUACUUAGUGUGAUUGUUUUAUGCUAGACAACACAGCACUAUAGAUGGUGUUAGGUUUGGAAUCAUUUGGAGCUUAUAAAAUCGAUACCGUUGUAAUCUAAGCCUUAAGACAGACGAAACAAAUUCUUGUAUAUUUUCUGCUGCUUGGCUCAUUUGAAGGUUUAUUCUUGCUGAGUUAUCAGCGACAGAAGCGUGUAAAAAUUCUGUGAUUCUAGCCGAAUUUUUACCCCAAAAAAAGGGUCUAGAAUUCAUAUUCUAGUUCCAAAUAGGAUAUUUAGUUUGUUCACAUCAAUUCGUGCUUCAUACCCCCUGUAUCAUAGCUGUCAUUUCCGAACCAAUUUUCCAUCCUUGUUUGACUACACCAGGAACAUGGUCACAUAGCAAGCCUCCAUGAAUUUUCAACAGCCCUCUCCUAGUGGGGUUAAUUAGUGCAUUUAUGGAUACCUAACUUAUAAUGGGCUUGACUGGAAACUUUUUGAACUUGGAUCGUUUUGUGGCGCAAAAUGAGGUGAUUCCUGUCCAUACAAGGGGCCGUUCCCUCUAAUAUCUUCCAAAUUUGCGGAUGUCAACUUCAGUGUGUGGAAAAAAGAAGAGGAAAAUGUCAUAAACCAACAAGAAUAUGGCAGUGCCGGUUUGUUUGAUUUGGAAAAAAAGUUUUUUUUUCUUUUAUUUUUUGCUUAUUUUUAGUCCUCCUACAAUCCUCUCUUGUACGUAUUGAGAACAUCUACCUCUCUACAGUACAAAAGAUUUAUCCCUCCUAAAAUCUUUAAGUGGUGAUGUCGUAGAUAUCACGGCGUUUUUUUCUUUAAAAAAAAAAAUAUUUAUCAUUUUAUUUUUAGAGAGAAUAAGUAUGAUUUAAAAAAACAUCAUCUAAUAUUAUGAUCAAUAAAAACUCUAACUGGUUAACCUAGAUUCUAUGACACUGGACUAAUUACACCAAAAAAAAAAAUAUCACAACUUAAACAUCCUACCUGAAAUAUGUUGCAUCAUUGGUUUUAUUUUAAAUUGCUAAGAAUUUAUUGUAUUAUAAUAUUGAUGGUUUGUAUAUAAUAUUCAUAACUUUAGUGUUAGUGAAUAAUAAGGUUCAGAAUAAUUUUCAAUUCUAGUGUGAAUAUUUUUAAAUCUACCAUUAGUGUAUAUUAAAAGUAUCUUUAACUUUAACAUUAGUAAAUAUGAAUGUUUCAGACUCUGGCAUUAUCAUGAACAUGUAAAUUUAAAUUUGAGUUGAAAUUUAUUUAUUUAUAUAUAUAUUAAUUUUUUUAAAAAAAAACUAUUUUAUUUGUUUUUAUUUUUCAAGACGGUGCCGUCUUAUAAGUACAUUGACCUUAAGCAUGGGUAAAUUUUUUUUUUUAUUUACAAAGAUAGGAUUGAGGGUUAUAUUAUUUUAAAAAUUUGGAUAUGUCAGGACGAUGAGUUUUUUAAUUUUAGUCAAGUUAUAAUGAGCUUAAUAAACUGGUUAAUAAGGUAUAACAAAUAUUUUUGAGGGUUUUUUUUUUUAAUUUUUUUUGUGAUAACACUAAUUUUUUUUUUUAAAUAUGCAAAAAGCAUUUUUUUUUUUAAUUUUAUGGAAACAAAAUGAUUCAAAGAGCUCAUGUUCCCUCCCAAUACAAAGAUAGAUCAUAUAAUCCCUGGUAGUUUAGAAUGGAGUUUUAAGUACUUUCGUCUAACCAAAGUGACAUCAAAUGCAGAGGAGCUCGGGGUUGGGGCGUCAGGUUGUUGACGCGUCGGUUAGAGAGAAGCUUCUGGUGUUUGCUGAAGUGUUGGUCACGGUGGGAACUCCUAGUGUUGUGGCAACAAAUGAUAUUGUGGUAGAGAAGGUUCAAAGACUGGCCAAGAAUGAGCUGCUUCUUCUUUUUUAUUUUUUACAAGGAUUUUAUUUUGGUUUUCCUCGUGAUUUUGUUUUUCUCCCUGCUAUGACAGUGGCCUUCCUUUUGCUUUUAUAGGGCCAAUCUGAAAUCUUUCCCACAAAAUCCGUCGCUUAUCUCCUAGGAUGGUGAUCUUGUGGAUGAAGAUAACUACAGCUCAAGUUUGUUCCACUUUUGAUGAGAAGAAAACACCAACAGUCCUGUAGUCUACGAUUUGGAUCGGAUUUAAUUUGAUUUGGUGGGAAGAUGGGGUCUAACCGAAGCCAUUUUGGUGGCUUCUUGGGCAGUUUUCCGUAGCUCCAGAGGAAGAAGAAAAUGAACAGUUACUGAAUAACGUAUCAUUCGGGUUCUUAGGUUAAAUUAGCUAUUUUUCAAUUUGCCUCCCUUGAAAUUUCGAAACCUUACAAUCAAGCCCAAGAUUGUCUUUAUCCUUUAGAAGUUUUUAAUUUCACCCUUGGAGUUAUGCAAUUGGACCCUUGGAUCUCUGCGCUACUGACAAUCAGUUCCCAACACUUCUGCCAUUCCAAUGUCUUUCUUCCAUUUUGCCUUGAGAUUUCACUCCCACAAAAAUAGAUUCAAUAUUUAUCUAUCAAAACCAUAAUUCAAAUCAACAAUCAAACAAGUUUUGAAAAGAAAAUGUGAAUUUGAUCGGUUGGUUAAUUAAAUACGUGAGUUGUAAUUUUGCCAAAGAAGUACAAGUGUAGAAAGUUUCUUCAUCAUUUACGUCAUCAGUUCUUUUACUUCUUCUGAUGAGAAGUCGCAGUCGCCUGCUGUCAUCGCCGCCUCCAUGGUGGUGGUUGUAGCGGUGGGUGAUGGUGAGCAGGUUUUAUUGCAAGAGGAACAAAAAGUGGCGCAGUGUUUUCUUAAAAUUAAAACGAGAGAAAUCAGAACCGCUUGGUCUGUGAUUUUUUCCUUAAUGAUUAUUAUUCCGCAGGCCCAUUAGUUUCGUCAAAGAAACCCAAAAAAAAAAAGAUGAAAGCCCCAUGAAUCAAUUAAAAUUUAGUUCUUUUUGGAAUGAUCUUCGUGAUACAUCCUUAUAUUAAUUUAAUUAUUUUAAAAAAUAAAUUUCUUGAAUGUGAUUAAGUCCGAAUUUUUUUGUGGAUAUAAAAAAAAAUAGUUUGUUUUUAUUUCAAGCUUGGAUAUCUUUAUUUCAUAAUUAAAUUAUCUUUCUCGUUAUAUCGCAGAUAAAUUAAUUUCUCUGAACAUGCUAUAUUUUAAUCACCAAAAGAUAACCAUAAUGUUGCAAAGAGUCUUUGACAAAGGGUAUCCAUUAAGAGGAAUAUUCUUGAUGUUCCAACCUUCUAUGCAUGUACGUAUGUCAACAUAAAGUGUAACGUAAAUUGCUGGGAAUUGAGCAUAUAUAUUGUGCUAUUGGUAUGAUCCUGAUCUGUGACAGGAAUUGCGCUAGAUUGUUUCAGCUUGCAUGUUAUAACUUCAGUGCCUCCUGCUGCUUAAGUCAGGGUCAUUUCUCACUUACAAAUUAAAAUCUAAACGUUUUGAUUGUAUUAAGGUUCAUUUGGUCUGAAGUUAUCCUUCAAAUCUCUUGAAUUUUGUUUUUCAGAGGAGAAAAUAUGUAUCUUAAACUUUGAUUCACCCCCUUCAGAUUGAUGGAAAUUGUCGAAAAAUUAGUUGCUUAAAUGUUGAUGAAAUAACUUUAAAUAUGAAUGAGUACUUUAAAUAUUAACUUUGAUCUAUAUCGUAAACUUUGAUUCACCCCUUCCACAUGCCCUGAUGGACAGGAAUAAUUAUGAUCAUUAAUUAGGACCUUGAGUGUAUGCCUGCAGAAUUCAAGAAACAAUCCUAAUAUUGCAUGAUACUUCGUAAACAUACAGUAACCUUGUGAGCAUCUUAUUGAUUACAUUUAACUAGACAUAGUUUUUCUUUUCCCUGCCUUUUUCAGUGGAUUACAGGCUUCUUAUUUAAUAUUCUCCAUACAAACUGGAGAGUAUCCUACACCACCAUUAUUCUACAGAGAAAACUUUUUGGCACUCUUCAGCGGAGAUUGAUGUUAUAUUUGGGCUGUUUAUUUGGAAGAAAGAGCCCCCAGUGUUUCUCAAGUUCAGGGUUUUUGUAAUUCUCAUCAAACAUGGAAAAAAUAUACGUUUCUAUGGGCUUUCCAGGCUUCUUUGGGCUUCCUCUCUUCACAUGUUGAACUAAGUUGUUGUUAUAAAUUCUUGCAUUAUCAACCGAUGUUCCUGUCCCUCCAGCCGUUGGCCAACCACUCUCUGAUACCACGAUAUCCAAAGAACCCCCUCCAGAUUUCUCCAAAGCAGCGUAAACAGUGUCAAGAAUGGCAUCGAAGAG
RNAcentral lists this long non-coding RNA (5758 nucleotides) under Populus trichocarpa (black cottonwood). RNAcentral's name for it is "long non-coding RNA (PTRI_LNC003628)". The record is from RNAcentral. Lineage: Eukaryota; Viridiplantae; Streptophyta; Magnoliopsida; Malpighiales; Salicaceae.